GCCCCGGUAGCUCAGCUCCGGUGGAGCGUCGGCCUUGUAAGGUCGAGUGUUUGGGGGCUUCGAGAUAGCCGAAGGUCCCGGGUUCAAAUCCCGGCCGGGGCU
Molecule: transfer RNA, 102 nt
Filed under: Thermofilum adornatum
Lineage: Archaea; Thermoproteati; Thermoproteota; Thermoprotei; Thermofilales; Thermofilaceae
Description: Thermofilum adornatus tRNA
Rfam family: tRNA
About the family: Transfer RNA (tRNA) molecules are approximately 80 nucleotides in length. Their secondary structure includes four short double-helical elements and three loops (D, anti-codon, and T loops).
Source: Rfam by way of RNAcentral